CUCUCUCUCUCUCUCUCUCUCUGUGCCUGACGUCCCUGUUUGUCAAUCUACAACUCCGUGUCCAGGACUCUCAAGAUCGUUUCAUUAACUGUGGGAAGUUGAGACUUUCCCUUUCAACCUCUGCUCUGUAACAUCAAAGACCACCCUGAUCUCCACACUCUUAAGAAAGUGGGGGCUUCUUUCCCUCAGGAUCUAUAUAUGUUAUUCUCUGGCAAGAACCCUCAGCUCCUGUUUGUCAUUUUCAAGUCCCUGCUUCAGGUCUGUAUAACUAUUACAGUCUAAUCAAUGGUUCCCUAUUCUCCAACUGUCACUUCAUUUUUCUUUCUCAUGGGUCUUCUUUCCAGGACACAAAACUCUUUGGUCUUCCCAUGGGCAGAACUUGGCAGAGCCCCCAGAGGACCAGCCCUCACGCAAGAUACCUGGGACAGCAUGAAGUUUCUAGGAUGGUUCCCAGAGAAAUUGAGACUGUGCAUGGCUCUGGUCUCACUGGCUGUUGAACUCCAGCACUGCUGCUGGGCUUGUGCUGGACAACACAGUCAAGGCCUUCCUGAACCUCUAUUGGUGCCAUUCUCCCAACUGGCCAAUCUGAAGAACUUCACCGCAAGCUUCCUAAGAGUCAUCAUCAGAAAAGAUUCCCUAGUGAAACCCUGAAGCAGCAUUAGUGGCCAAACUACAACUACUGUUCCCCACUUGCUGAAGAAUGUCACAGUGAAACUAAGACAGUCAUACAAGCUUCCUAUGCAUCUGCCUCAGAGAGGAGCCCUGCAACAGCAUUUCUGCCCAACCAACUCUUCUUCUUGGUGAGCUAUCCAUUUAACUUUUAUAUUAGCAUGAUGAUAUAUGGAAUGUUUGUGUGAAUUCACAGCCUCCUCAGAAGACAAAUCUGUGUACAUUCUAAUUACUGAGCACUUUCCACCCAUAGGCCACUCUUUCUGCAAUGUAACUGUUCUAAAAUGGAUACUGGUAAAGCUUUAAAAAUGCGCCCACGCAAGCCCAUGGAGACAGCACUAAGUGAGCAACAGAGUAAGAACUGGUCCUGAUGCCACUGUUUAUGUCCCAGGAUGAG
Molecule: long non-coding RNA, 1066 nt
Filed under: Mus spicilegus (steppe mouse)
Lineage: Eukaryota; Metazoa; Chordata; Mammalia; Rodentia; Muridae
Description: lncRNA (ENSMSIG00000012254.1)
Source: RNAcentral